CCGAGUGGGCCGCGAUCGGCCGAGGAUUUGGGGUACUCUUUGACCCAGGCGGGGCGCGAUCCGCCUAGGAUUUGGGGUCCCCUGGCGCCGAACCCUGAGUUGCCAGAUUUAGCAAGUAAAAGUACAGUUCUUCUAAAUUUGAAUUUCAGACAGGACAGGUUUUAGGGUUCGUCUCCUGUAAUGUUGAGAAGGUUUUGUUCUAGAUCGUGUUUGUGGCUGUGUUCUUCAGGAUAUUUUCCCUGACCUUGAGGAUUUCCCUCAUCUACCUUUCUUUGGGAGAUACGACUAAAACCAACAAAAGCCAAGUUUGGUAAAUAAGAAGUUUAAACAAGUGCUUCUCUGUACAGCUCAUCCACUUCCUCAUCUGUAAACCGAUCCCCCAUGGUUGUCAGCAGCUCUCUCAAGUAAUCUUCCUGAAUGGUGCCUGGAGAAUAAAGAACAAGGGAUCAGAAUACAUACUAUUCUGAGGGUUAAUUACAAAGAAUAUCUAUACUCAACUAAGCAUGUUCUGUAUGUUACAAACUAUAAACAUGCAAAGAUAUAUGAACUACAGGGUGUCCACCUACUUAAAACAGCCUCAGCAGAGAAGUGCCUAGAAAAAUGCCUAGCUGCUUAGCAGCACUGCUCCGCUCUAUCAUUUGCUCUAUCAUUCUGCCUCCACAUUCAGCUUCUGAUCUCUUGAUAAGAGAGACUAAACCUAUGCCUAAACAAAGUAAUAAAAAGUAUGGUUAAAGAAUCUAAGCCUUACGGUUCCUUAAAGUGGCAUGAAUGGUCACAUCUUAUUCUACAAGCAAGUAACAUUUACCUGCCAGGCUAAAAUCAACACUACAUCAUACACAUCAAUAAAGUGGUACAGUGGAAAGAAUACUGGAAACUUGAGGCCCAGUUUUAACAAGCUAUUUUAUUUCAGGCAUUUCACUUUAUCCCUGACUUUGGUUUUCUCAGAUGUAAAAUGAGAUUUUUACUGUUUACAA
This 974-nucleotide long non-coding RNA is filed under the name Pan troglodytes (chimpanzee). RNAcentral's name for it is "long non-coding RNA NONPTRT007474". Lineage: Eukaryota; Metazoa; Chordata; Mammalia; Primates; Hominidae. The record is from RNAcentral.